GGGGAGUGACUCGGCGUGUAAAGUGCUUGCAGCUCUACAGAAGCCCAGCACGCACGUAAAGCCGGAUGCACUAGUGAAUAUCCAUAAGCCGUGUGCUCCUCCAGAGAAGAAGCAGUGAGGCAGAGAGAGGAGGAUUCCCAGAAGCUCUCAGGCCAGCUAGCCUGCUCCGUCUCAAACAAGGUAGAAGGUCCUGGUCCCUACUCCUUGGGAAUGAUGUCGCUCACUUUCAGAGCAGUCCUUUCUCCAUUACAGACACACCCAAAGGAGUGCCUCAUUAAUGUUCCAGAGCAAAGGAACCAGACACCAAUGAAAACGGAUGGUCCAAGUGAUCCGGCAUCCAAAACUGCUUCAAGGCUGCUGGCUGAGAGGGUCCAGACUCACCGAUUACUCCAAUUGGGACUUAAUUAUUAUCUCAAUUUUCUCAAGGUUCCCCCAAAGAUGUCAGUGCCCCCAAACAACAGGAAGUAGUCUAGAGAACCAUGCCCACACUCCUAAAAUAUUGGUUAUGGAUGUUUGUUAUCAUUUAAGGGGUGUUGGUUACAAGUUAUUGGUAAUAGUAAAAAAAAAAAUCUAAACAAAAGAGUUAUAUUCAAAGAUCUCUUUCUAAAAAAGGGGGGGUAGUAAUGAUAUACGAAUGAUAGGGAAAAAGAGUAGAUUAUUGAAUCUAUUUUAGUCCCCUAAACAACUAUUAAUCUCAAAAUAUUUUAUAUUGGUAUGGAUUUUGGUUUAUUGAUACAAAUUUAAAUUUAAUUUUGUUAUACAGUAUGUAUGUUUCUGUUCUUUAGGGUAUUAUGUUUAUGCAGCUCAUUUAAACAUGUAAUAUAUAAUUAAGAAAUAAAGAUUAAUAGUCAUCUGUAAUAGUCUAACUUAUAGUCAUGUUAGGUAUGUGUUCAAGGUCAUGAACAGAUAUAUUUAGACUUAUAGAUGGUCUUCAAACACUUCAAAGACCUAUAGAAUAUGGCAUUUAAUAUGUUUAAUAACCUAAAGCUUUUCACAGUGAAACAUGUCUGCUUCUGACAGCACCAAAUUGUUUCAAAAGAGGAUGAUGGACACUGGAGAAAUUCUAUAUGGAGUUUGCUUUCUUUGUAGCAAAAAUUAAUUAUUUGGGCAAAAAACUGCCCUUGUCUCAAUUACUGACAGUUAUUGUCCAAAGUGGACUAGCAGGAUGCAAGAAAGGCAACUGUUGAACUUUGCUAAGACAAGGUAGGACAGUCCUUCAGAAUUCCCUGAUUCACAGGAAAGUCUGUUAGAUAUGCUAGGCCUGUAGGCCAAGAACCUAGGGUGAAUGUCCAGGCAGUCUGAUGUCCUUGUCAUUUGGUAACAUUUUACCCUUCUGAGGUCUUCGAUGGAGUUGAAAAAUAGAUAGGUAUAGUUUUCCUUAGUUAUGAUUGAUGGUAAUUUAGGUACAAAACUUUGAACUCACAAAGAUAAGAUAGAUAAUAGAGUAUUUUCUCUAAUUUUGCCAAAUAGAAAUGGACUAGAUAUUGUAACUGUAAUUCUUACUUGAUAACUGUUUUUGUUGCAUAUCAUUUUAUUAUGUUAAAGUUAAAACCUUCCUUUUUAUUUAUAUAAAAUGGGGGAAAUGCUGUGGAAUAUUCCUUUACACUGUGUGAAUAUAUGUCUCUAUGAUUGGCUUAAUAAAAAGCUGAUUGGCCGAUAGUCAGUCAGGUGGUAUAGGUGGGAUGACCACACUAAGGAUGCUGGGAUGAAGAAGGGCAGAGUCAGGAGUUGCCAGUAGAUGCAGAGGGAGCAGGAGAUGAAUGUGCCAUUCUAAUAAAGGUACUGCCACAUAGCAGAGCAUACAUAAGGAAUAUGGGUUAACUUAAAAUGUGGGAGCUAGUUAGUAAUAAACCUGAACUAUUGACCAAUCAUUUGUAAUUAAUAUAAGCCUCAGUGUUUGAUUUGAGAGAAGCUGCAGAACACGAAAACUCUGCCUACAUAAAUUGAACAUAAAAAUCUAAAGCCUAUUGCAUUCAUUUAAUCCAUAUUUUAAGUCUUUGUUCUUGACAUUAUUCCCUAA
This is a long non-coding RNA of Peromyscus californicus insignis, 2020 nucleotides long. RefSeq lists it as uncharacterized. The record is from RefSeq and is a predicted model, not a curated record. NCBI's taxonomy places the organism in Eukaryota, Metazoa, Chordata, Mammalia, Rodentia, Cricetidae. The transcript is spliced from 3 exons.